Molecule: long non-coding RNA, 860 nt
Filed under: Danio rerio (zebrafish)
Lineage: Eukaryota; Metazoa; Chordata; Actinopteri; Cypriniformes; Danionidae
Description: lncRNA si:ch73-239g21.1 (ENSDARG00000097541.2)
Source: RNAcentral
GCAGAAAUGUCCCUGGUUUGAAUCCCGACUGAGCCUGAAUCCUGGAUAUUCUUCCCUGUUCUCUGGGUGCUCCAGCUUUAUGACAGCAAAUCUAUGGCAAAUAGAACCGAACACACGGGUGAUGGUUAUGCUUGCGGUGUUCUGAACUGCAGGAGGAUAACAGAUCCAGACACGAGGAAACAGGAGACUGGACUGGAAAGAAAAAAAAGAAAUAAAAAAUCCCUCUGUGAGAAGAACAUCCAGCGCACUAAAGAAAGGCAGAGACAUUAACAGAUUGUCGCUGCUGACCUGAGAUCAGUGAUGACACCUGAAGACACAUAAAAAGAGCUGCCCAGACCCUCGUGCCACUCCAGCAGAUUGGAUAUCAGGCAUCUCCAGACGGGGCAUCAACGUCACAGCUAGUCAGCAGGUUUGUGAAAUAUUUACUGCGGAUGAUGGUUCAUGAAGAAUACAUGAGGACAGUGGAGCAGUGCUUUACGGCCUUGUUGCUGAGCGCACCCCUGCCAGGAAGGACUGCUGCUCGCACGGCUGACAAAGUUUCACACCACUGCCUGGCAUCAAGAGCUAUGAGUCAAAUUGUAACAUAAUAUCAGACAUUUGUAUUCAGUUAUUCUAAAAGAAAAGGGAAAGUUACGCUUGAAAAAAGGAAUCCAUUUUGUUUAUUCAGUAUAUGCUAGUCUCACCUAAAGAUGUUACACAAAAGAAACACACAAAUAUGCUAACAUGUGACCCUUAUUUAAAAUUUUUUAAUAACAUGAAUAUUUUUUAACAUGUUUUGCUAUGGAAAAUUGACUCUCUCAAAUUAAUAUUUGCGUAAUAUUAAUGUAUCCGAAGAUAACUUAUGUUUUCUGGCUGUAUUC